RNAcentral lists this ribosomal RNA (1506 nucleotides) under uncultured bacterium. RNAcentral's name for it is "bacterial SSU rRNA". It matches the Rfam family "Bacterial small subunit ribosomal RNA". The record is from RNAcentral.
UAGAGUUUGAUCAUGGCUCAGGAUGAACGCUAGCGACAGGCUUAACACAUGCAAGUCGAGGGGCAGCGGGGAGGUAGCAAUACUUCCGCCGGCGACCGGCGCACGGGUGAGUAACACGUAUGGAACCUGCCCGUAGCAGGGGGAUAAGCGGAAGAAAUUCCGUCUAAUACCGCGUAAUAACUCCGAGAGGCAUCUCAUGGAGUUUAAAGGGUAAUACCGGCUACGGAUGGCCAUGCGGCGCAUUAGCUAGUUGGCGGGGUAACGGCCCACCAAGGCGACGAUGCGUACGGGUUCUGAGAGGAAGGUCCCCCACACUGGUACUGAGACACGGACCAGACUCCUACGGGAGGCAGCAGUGAGGAAUAUUGGUCAAUGGGCGCGAGCCUGAACCAGCCAAGUCGCGUGAGGGAAGACGGUCCUAUGGAUUGUAAACCUCUUUUGUCGGGGAGCAAAAGGCGCCACGUGUGGCGUUCCGAGAGUACCCGAAGAAAAAGCAUCGGCUAACUCCGUGCCAGCAGCCGCGGUAAUACGGAGGAUGCGAGCGUUAUCCGGAUUUAUUGGGUUUAAAGGGUGCGUAGGCGGCCUGCCAAGUCAGCGGUAAAAUUGCGGGGCUCAACCCCGUACAGCCGUUGAAACUGCCGGGCUCGAGUGGGCGAGAAGUAUGCGGAAUGCCUGGUGUAACGGUGAAAUGCCUAGAUAUCACGCAGAACCCCGAUUGCGAAGGCAGCAUACCGGCGCCCGACUGACGCUGAAGCACGAAAGUGCGGGGAUCAAACAGGAUUAGAUACCUUGGUAGUCCGCACAGUAAACGAUGAAUGCUAGCUGUCCGGGGGGAUUGACCCCUGGGUGGCACAGCGAAAGCGUUAAGCAUUCCACCUGGGGAGUACGCCGGCAACGGUGAAACUCAAAGGAAUGGACGGGGACCCGCACAAGCAGCGGAGCAUGUGGUUUAAUUCGACGCAACGCGAAAAACUUUACCAGGCCUUGACAUCGAGUGAAAGUCCAAGAGAUUGGACCCUCUUUCGGGACACGAAGACAGGUGCUGCAUGGUUGUCGUCAGCUCGUGUCGUGAGAUGUUAGGUUAAGUCCUGCAACGAGCGCAACCCUCAUAUGUAGUUGCCAUCAUUAAGUUGGGCACUCUGCAUAGACUGCCGUGGUUAACACGGAGGAAGGUGGGGAUGACGUCAAAUCAUCACGGCCCUUACGGCCUGGGCUACACACGUGCUACAAUGGCUAUUACAAAGAGUUGCAAUACAGCAAUGUGGAGCGAAUCUCAAAAAGAUAGUCUCAGUUCGGACUGUGGGCUGCAACCCGCCCACACGAAGUCGGAGUUGCUAGUAAUCCCGAAUCAGCAUGUCGGGGUGAAUGCGUUCCCGGGUCUUGUACACACCGCCCGUCACGCCAUGGGAGUCGGAAGUGCCCAAAGUCGGUGACCUAACCGCAAGGAAGGAGCCGCCUAAGGUAAUGCCGAUGACUGGGGUGAAGUCGUAACCAAGGUAACCGUAA